This 239-nucleotide long non-coding RNA is filed under the name Brassica napus (rape). Its description in RNAcentral is "long non-coding RNA (BNAP_LNC009279)". Lineage: Eukaryota; Viridiplantae; Streptophyta; Magnoliopsida; Brassicales; Brassicaceae. The record is from RNAcentral.
CUCUCUUCUGCGGGAUCCAUCUAAAGCACAAAACAAGAAUUGAUUAGCACAAAAAAACUGUAAAAUACGAUCAUACCAACUGUCUAUCCAACCCAGUUUAAUAUAUCAAACCACAAAUCGAAACCCCCAAAUUUUUUUUUAACCCUAAUUCGAAAACCCCUAUUCGAUUUUCAAUCCGCAAAUCUCGGACCAUUAAUCGAUAAAUAGAACCCGUAGACGAGGUUAUACAACCCUAGAUC